ACUAAGCGUACACGGUGGAUGCCCUGGCAGUCAGAGGCGAUGAAGGACGUGCUAAUCUGCGAUAAGCGUCGGUAAGGUGAUAUGAACCGUUAUAACCGGCGAUUUCCGAAUGGGGAAACCCAGUGUGAUUCGUCACACUAUCAUUAACUGAAUCCAUAGGUUAAUGAGGCGAACCGGGGGAACUGAAACAUCUAAGUACCCCGAGGAAAAGAAAUCAACCGAGAUUCCCCCAGUAGCGGCGAGCGAACGGGGAGCAGCCCAGAGCCUGAAUCAGUGUGUGUGUUAGUGGAAGCGUCUGGAAAGGCGCGCGAUACAGGGUGACAGCCCCGUACACAAAAAUGCACAUGCUGUGAGCUCGAUGAGUAGGGCGGGACACGUGGUAUCCUGUCUGAAUAUGGGGGGACCAUCCUCCAAGGCUAAAUACUCCUGACUGACCGAUAGUGAACCAGUACCGUGAGGGAAAGGCGAAAAGAACCCCGGCGAGGGGAGUGAAAAAGAACCUGAAACCGUGUACGUACAAGCAGUGGGAGCACAGAGCAAUCUGUGUGACUGCGUACCUUUUGUAUAAUGGGUCAGCGACUUAUAUUCUGUAGCAAGGUUAACCGAAUAGGGGAGCCGAAGGGAAACCGAGUCUUAACUGGGCGUUAAGUUGCAGGGUAUAGACCCGAAACCCGGUGAUCUAGCCAUGGGCAGGUUGAAGGUUGGGUAACACUAACUGGAGGACCGAACCGACUAAUGUUGAAAAAUUAGCGGAUGACUUGUGGCUGGGGGUGAAAGGCCAAUCAAACCGGGAGAUAGCUGGUUCUCCCCGAAAGCUAUUUAGGUAGCGCCUCGUGAAUUCAUCUCCGGGGGUAGAGCACUGUUUCGGCAAGGGGGUCAUCCCGACUUACCAACCCGAUGCAAACUGCGAAUACCGGAGAAUGUUAUCACGGGAGACACACGGCGGGUGCUAACGUCCGUCGUGAAGAGGGAAACAACCCAGACCGCCAGCUAAGGUCCCAAAGUCAUGGUUAAGUGGGAAACGAUGUGGGAAGGCCCAGACAGCCAGGAUGUUGGCUUAGAAGCAGCCAUCAUUUAAAGAAAGCGUAAUAGCUCACUGGUCGAGUCGGCCUGCGCGGAAGAUGUAACGGGGCUAAACCAUGCACCGAAGCUGCGGCAGCGACGCUGAUGCGUUGUUGGGUAGGGGAGCGUUCUGUAAGCCUGUGAAGGUGUGCUGUGAGGCAUGCUGGAGGUAUCAGAAGUGCGAAUGCUGACAUAAGUAACGAUAAAGCGGGUGAAAAGCCCGCUCGCCGGAAGACCAAGGGUUCCUGUCCAACGUUAAUCGGGGCAGGGUGAGUCGACCCCUAAGGCGAGGCCGAAAAGCGUAGUCGAUGGGAAACAGGUUAAUAUUCCUGUACUUGGUGUUACUGCGAAGGGGGGACGGAGAAGGCUAUGUUGGCCGGGCGACGGUUGUCCCGGUUUAAGCGUGUAGGCUGGUUUUCCAGGCAAAUCCGGAAAAUCAAGGCUGAGGCGUGAUGACGAGGCACUACGGUGCUGAAGCAACAAAUGCCCUGCUUCCAGGAAAAGCCUCUAAGCAUCAGGUAACAUCAAAUCGUACCCCAAACCGACACAGGUGGUCAGGUAGAGAAUACCAAGGCGCUUGAGAGAACUCGGGUGAAGGAACUAGGCAAAAUGGUGCCGUAACUUCGGGAGAAGGCACGCUGAUAUGUAGGUGAAGUCCCUCGCGGAUGGAGCUGAAAUCAGUCGAAGAUACCAGCUGGCUGCAACUGUUUAUUAAAAACACAGCACUGUGCAAACACGAAAGUGGACGUAUACGGUGUGACGCCUGCCCGGUGCCGGAAGGUUAAUUGAUGGGGUCAGCGCAAGCGAAGCUCUUGAUCGAAGCCCCGGUAAACGGCGGCCGUAACUAUAACGGUCCUAAGGUAGCGAAAUUCCUUGUCGGGUAAGUUCCGACCUGCACGAAUGGCGUAAUGAUGGCCAGGCUGUCUCCACCCGAGACUCAGUGAAAUUGAACUCGCUGUGAAGAUGCAGUGUACCCGCGGCAAGACGGAAAGACCCCGUGAACCUUUACUAUAGCUUGACACUGAACAUUGAGCCUUGAUGUGUAGGAUAGGUGGGAGGCUUUGAAGUGUGGACGCCAGUCUGCAUGGAGCCGGCCUUGAAAUACCACCCUUUAAUGUUUGAUGUUCUAACGUGGACCCGUAAUCCGGGUUGCGGACAGUGUCUGGUGGGUAGUUUGACUGGGGCGGUCUCCUCCUAAAGAGUAACGGAGGAGCACGAAGGUUGGCUAAUCCUGGUCGGACAUCAGGAGGUUAGUGCAAUGGCAUAAGCCAGCUUGACUGCGAGCGUGACGGCGCGAGCAGGUGCGAAAGCAGGUCAUAGUGAUCCGGUGGUUCUGAAUGGAAGGGCCAUCGCUCAACGGAUAAAAGGUACUCCGGGGAUAACAGGCUGAUACCGCCCAAGAGUUCAUAUCGACGGCGGUGUUUGGCACCUCGAUGUCGGCUCAUCACAUCCUGGGGCUGAAGUAGGUCCCAAGGGUAUGGCUGUUCGCCAUUUAAAGUGGUACGCGAGCUGGGUUUAGAACGUCGUGAGACAGUUCGGUCCCUAUCUGCCGUGGGCGCUGGAGAAUUGAGGGGGGCUGCUCCUAGUACGAGAGGACCGGAGUGGACGCAUCACUGGUGUUCGGGUUGUCAUGCCAAUGGCACUGCCCGGUAGCUAAAUGCGGAAGAGAUAAGUGCUGAAAGCAUCUAAGCACGAAACUUGCCCCGAGAUGAGUUCUCCCUGACUCCUUGAGAGUCCUGAAGGAACGUUGAAGACGACGACGUUGAUAGGCCGGGUGUGUAAGCGCAGCGAUGCGUUGAGCUAACCGGUACUAAUGAACCGUGAGGCUUAACC
Molecule: ribosomal RNA, 2895 nt
Filed under: Escherichia coli
Lineage: Bacteria; Pseudomonadati; Pseudomonadota; Gammaproteobacteria; Enterobacterales; Enterobacteriaceae
Description: bacterial LSU rRNA
Rfam family: Bacterial large subunit ribosomal RNA
Source: RNAcentral